UUAUGGCAUUGAUACAAAACUUUUAGUGUACAUGCAAGUUCUGCUUGUGAGAAUCUAUGAAAGAAAAACUGAGAUAGACCUGAGCCUUGU
Small nucleolar RNA from Lolium perenne, 90 nucleotides. The record is from RefSeq and is a predicted model, not a curated record. NCBI's taxonomy places the organism in Eukaryota, Viridiplantae, Streptophyta, Magnoliopsida, Poales, Poaceae.